Molecule: ribosomal RNA, 465 nt
Filed under: uncultured bacterium
Lineage: Bacteria
Description: bacterial SSU rRNA
Rfam family: Bacterial small subunit ribosomal RNA
Source: RNAcentral
CCUACGGGCUGCACCAGUGGGGAAUAUUGCACAAUGGGCGCAAGCCUGAUGCAGCCAUGCCGCGUGUAUGAAGAAGGCCUUCGGGUUGUAAAGUACUUUCAGCGGGGAGGAAGGCGGUAAGGUUAAUAACCUUGUCGAUUGACGUUACCCGCAGAAGAGGCACCGGCUAACUCCGUGCCAGCAGCCGCGGUAAUACGGAGGGUGCAGGCGUUAAUCGGAAUUACUGGGCGUAAAGCGCACGCAGGCGGUUGAUUAAGUUAGAUGUGAAAUCCCCGGGCUUAACCUGGGAAUGGCAUCUAAGACUGGUCAGCUAGAGUCUUGUAGAGGGGGGUAGAAUUCCAUGUGUAGCGGUGAAAUGCGUAGAGAUGUGGAGGAAUACCGGUGGCGAAGGCAGCCCCCUGGACAAAGACUGACGCUCAGGUGCGAAAGCGUGGGGAGCAAACAGGAUUAGAUACCCUAGUAGUC